This 253-nucleotide ribosomal RNA is filed under the name uncultured bacterium. RNAcentral describes it as "partial 16S ribosomal RNA". It matches the Rfam family "Bacterial small subunit ribosomal RNA", at positions 524 to 776 of the family's 1533-position model. The record is from RNAcentral.
UACGUAGGCAGCGAGCGUUGUUCGGAGUUACUGGGCGUAAAGAGUGCGUAGGCGGUUUUCUAAGUUUGGUGUGAAAUCUCCCGGCUCAACUGGGAGGGUGCGCCGAAGACUGGAAGGCUUGAGUAUGGGAGAGGUAAGCGGAAUUCCUGGUGUAGCGGUGAAAUUCGUAGAUAUCAGGAGGAACACCUGCGGUGUAGACGGCUUACUGGACCAUAACUGACGCUGAGGCACGAAAGCGUGGGUAGCAAACAGG